UCGUCUCCUUCUCCAUCCCGUUCACACGAGAGUCAAGACGGCUAGGGUUUUCGUUGCCCCCUCGGCCCUUCCGCACGUUCUUUCACACGAAGCAGAUCGAGUCUAGAUGGCUAGGGUUUCAUUGCCCCCUCAGCCCUGCCGCACGGUUCAGUAAUGGCAGAUGUGGCAGGAGGCUGCUAUAGCUGGCUUCAGAAGAGAGGAGGGUAUCGUCAUGGCAGGGGUUUUAUGUGCGUUGCAUCAUGUCCAUGGCGAGUUCGAGGUGGUCGAAGGGCAAAAGUCUCCGUUCAUAUCUAGGACGGCGUCAUCAAUCAGCCGCAUCGUAGUUCAGUUCUGCAUGCAGCACGACGAGCGCGCAGGAAGCGAGCUUGGCCUUCUAUGGUGGAUAUUUGCUUCAUUCAGGUUCUACACCUCAGGUAUUACUGGUUUUAAGAUGGGAGAAUCCUCAGAGUUUAGUGGAUGGCACUUUUGUUGUACACGAAACCAAAAGUUGUGGCCACACCCUGGUGCACUCACACCCCUGAUCUGAUCCCGGAGUAAAUCUCAUAACUAUAUAUAUGUUUGAGGUUGUGCAUUCAAGACUCACCGGUGAGAGCGCUCUUGGUUUUCUUGCCUAUCUCAUGAAUUCCGCAUCAUGCAUCAUGUAUCAACAUACAGAUCCCAGUGCAUCGUUCAGAUUGUGCGCUACGCCCAGGGCAACCGCCCCUGUUUGCUUGCUCUCCAACCAAGAAAUCAUGUGUGCAUACAUAUCAACUGUAGCGCUACCCAGCCUCCGCGUACUUAGCGUCGACGAUACUCUCUUGCCGCCAGACACGCCGAUCUUAUAAAGUGAUCCUAGCUUCCCAGCCAAUGGCCGCUAACUGCAAGCCAGCUUUCUCCAUUCGAUGAGAAAAAGCAUGACUGCUUGAUAUUGACGUAUCCCCAUAACAAAUGGAACACAUGAGAUCAAAGCACAGAAGAGGAACUUGAAAGGAAAAUAAGCUGUCAGUUCCCUGCAUCUACUCCCUGUAAAUGUGGCUUGAAAGUAAAAUAGGGGCUGGAAAGACUCGGCCGUCAUGGAGCUGUAGUAAAGUGGAUUGAGAACAAAAGAUAUUGCAGCAAUAUAUGAUCACAGGUUCCCAGGAUUCAGAUUAUUUCCUUUUCUCUUUCUGCAAUUUUUGCAUGGGCUACCUGAUGUGAUGCAUUGUAUAAGAAAACGACUGAUAUGAUUUGGCUUUACUGCAUGGGAUUUCAUUACGGGAGCUUAAGAUAUGUU
Molecule: long non-coding RNA, 1252 nt
Organism: Triticum aestivum (bread wheat)
Lineage: Eukaryota; Viridiplantae; Streptophyta; Magnoliopsida; Poales; Poaceae
Exons: 4
Source: RefSeq, a predicted model, not a curated record